UAGCGUGGAAUAGAUGUUACCAGCAUCGUAGCGGCGUUUGAUUUGCACAGUAGUGACAAACGUGGUGUGGGGUUACAUAACAGGCAAGAAAGAAGCGUACC
Molecule: long non-coding RNA, 101 nt
Organism: Gavialis gangeticus (Gharial)
Lineage: Eukaryota; Metazoa; Chordata; Crocodylia; Gavialidae
Exons: 3
Source: RefSeq, a predicted model, not a curated record